CAAGCCCACUCAGCGAGGGGUCACGUGCUCGCCCCUCCCCCACACUCAUCUGCUGCUCCUCUGCAGGUUGCUAGGCUGGGGGGGCCGCUCCCAGAAUAUUCCGUGACAGAUGGUGGGAUUACACAGGAAACACACGGAGGGAGAAGGCGAGGCGGCCGCCACAGGCGGCAGCUUUCCUGGGGGGCAGGGGAAGGCGGCUCCCUGCCGGGGUAGGCAGCGCCCACGCGCAGGUCCCCCUUGCUGACUCUCCUGGCUGCUGCUUUGGUAGGGAGGGGACCUGUGAACCAGUGUUUUAUCCCACGCUCACGGUGGGGCUGGGCUGUCACUCUCCCCAGCGUGCGGACCUGACGCGAACAGCCCGACCCUGGGAGGGAGGCGUCGUUGGGCCAACUGGCAGCAGGGGCUCUGGCUCCGACCCGGCCCCCAGCGUCUCCUUUCUGCUCAGAGGCUGCAGGGAGCAGAUGGAGAGAGGCCGGAAGCACCGCCACCUCACGCACGGCCCCCGGCCCCCAGGCGGGGAGAGGAAGGGCCGCAUCCCUGCCCUGCUGUCCUUAGCAGCGCCUUCUGGAAGGAGGUUCGGCCCUUUCCUCAGCCGCCCCCACCCCAAGCAUUCCCCUGUUCCUGCUGUGUAACAGUUUCCUGAAGGGAAGAUCCUUAAAUAGAAAGUCUAGACAGAGACAAACUGCAAAGAAGACUCUCGAGACCAGACCAGCUGCCCGGAAGAAGCAGAGACCAGCUGAGUUGCCUAGAAGGGGUUUAAGCCAGCUGGGUCGCCUGGACAGGACACUCUUCAGCCUGCUGAGGUGCCUGUGGGCUGUGCAGUGUGCUCCAGGUUCCCAGCUUUCGUGAGCUGUCACCCAUGCUGGCCUUGGUGGCACAGCUGCCUGAUCAUUUCUGCUCUUGUAAGCAACGCCCCAACCCAUACUCCUCUUGGCAAGCUGACUGUUUCAGACUUUGGAGCAGAUGUCAUUGUCAUCCCCACGUUCCAGAUGAGGACGCCAAGCUUUGAGCAGUCGGGUCCUAUUAUCUCCUGUGUCAAGGAGCUCUUGGAACAACGAGGGUUGGAUCCCAGCUCAAAGCACACAACAUGAACAGGCACACGGAGAGAGCGUGGACAAUGUGAGGCGUGACCACAUACACUGGUGUCCCCCAUGUGUCUGACGUUGACCUGCCUUAGUGUUCCUGACUCGUGCCUCUGACUCCGCUUGUGCUCCGUUGGUUGAGGAGUCCUCAGACCUCUGCAGAGCCUGGACAGUGGUAGGUUCUUCAUGACUGUAAGUGAAAUGAGACGAUGCACGCUGUGCCAAACAUAUCCAGUGCCCAUAGGCCACCCCACGAACCAAGA
Molecule: long non-coding RNA, 1345 nt
Organism: Psammomys obesus (fat sand rat)
Lineage: Eukaryota; Metazoa; Chordata; Mammalia; Rodentia; Muridae
Exons: 5
Source: RefSeq, a predicted model, not a curated record